AUGGGCUAGAUAUGGUAUGUGAAGUCCCCCUCUCUGUUUGCUUUAUUCCAUUUGAUUAUUGAGGUAUCUCUCUCCCUCUGUUUGCGUGCCAAUGCAUGUGUUUGGUCGAAUUUAUCAUUUUGUUUUAGGGUUUUAGCUUCCAGUGUAUCUAACAUUCCUAUGCCAACAUGCCUUGAUGCUACGUGGGGAAGACAUAUAUAGAAGAACUUAAUUUGGAUUGGGAUAGUGUAGUUCAAUUUUGUUUUAAUAAAGUUUUUGUCUAACUCAAAUGAAAUUCUUUGGAAAGUACAUUCUUCCAGUAAUUUAAAAUGCAGCAGCAUACCAACACUCACUUAUUAGUUAAUGGAUUUUAGAAAAUAUCGUGGAGCCUCUACUUUCCAGUCUAAAAUUUUUAUAAAUUAAUUAGCAGGCAUCUGUUUUCUAUUUGAUUGUUAUAUGCUAUGUGAAACAUGUAUCCUUUGUCCCCAUGGACUUCAUAUUUUUAUGAAGCCAUGAAAUAAUGCAGGCCACUUUUUCUUGUCUUUGCAUAUGACUUUCUGGUAAUGGAGUUUGUGCACAUCUGUAGCUGCAAAUCUUUGUAACAAGUAAUUCAGAAUUCAAACAACUUGUUUUGUAAUUCCAAGCACAUUUGCAGUUCAACAAUAAUCUAGAUAGGUUAGUAGUUUACAUAGAUACCAUCUUCCCAAGGACAAAUUAUAGCCUGGUAUAGCUCAUUUCAGUUUUGCACACUUUUGUUACAAGUUUUUCGGGUGAAUGCCGUCCAAGUAUCUAAGCUCAUGUAAAUGUGUUGCUUAAGUGUCUAUUCUGCAUAUCUUUGCCUGAAACUAAACAAGUUUGAGGCAACAGAGAACAGGUUAGUGAUUACAUGCAAGUUACCAUGAUUAAUAGAAUGAGAUGUAGGCUUCUAAUGUAAUUGUUGAUGGAUAAGACUUGCUAUCUGAUUGAGUUGUAGCACUAAAGUUUUGAGGUUUUUUUUUCUAUAAAAAAAAUUCCUUAUAGCCUGUUUGUUAUCAUUAUGGAUCCAGUUGAGUAUUCUUCUAUGGGUGUUAGCUGGUGAGUAAAGCUACAUUGAAAUUCAUGUGUGAUUGUUGCUUUAGUGUCAUGGAUCCUGGAAUUUGUCCCAAUUUAAUCUCAGGACUGCUUCAGUUAAGAGCUUGGCAUUUUAGAGCUUAAACACUCUAAAAGACCAACCAUGUUUUUAUCAUGGCCUUGGACUGUGGUGGGGCUCAGCUUAGGAAUGACAACAGGUAGUGCUUUACCCCUACCUGAACCCAUUUAAUAAUUAUACUAUUUGAACCCAUCUCAAACCUUUUUUUUUUACCUGUCCCAAAUCUAAUUAAUACUAGAAUGCUUUUCAAACCAGUAAUAGAUAAUUAUUUUUAAACUUAUAAUAUUUCUAAACCCAUUUAUAAAUAUUCGUAACUUCUAUAAUCAGAUUGAAUAGGCUAAGGUACACCAAUAUGCUUUAGUCAUUGCCAUCCCUGUCUAACUAGAAGGUAGAGGUUGUAAUUAGAGCAUCCAGGAGAUGUUUCUUUAAUAAUAUCCUCAUCAGGGUUGUAAUGUCUCCUUUAAAUUGGAUGAAGCUAUAUUUUGGUUUUUCAAGCAUUAUUCUCUUAAAGCAAAAAAAGGUGUUUUAUCCACUUUAUUUUUGUUUCCAAGCAAAUAGGAGAUCUUCUAUUUUGGCCUGUUAGUGUCAGUGCCCUGGAAAUUAGAUUGUUAUCUGCUGAUUACUUAUUUCUUUGUCAGCUCAUUUAAUUCUUCACCUAGGCUCCUACGCAUCCCUUCAUCCCCUACAGGAAUGCAUUUGGGGCAAAAUUUUAACCCUUCUUUUCACUUUGUUAACCAACUCUUCUAUGUUAACUUUUUUAUACCACAUUAGGCGUGAACUGUUAAUAUUCCCUGUCAUGCUACCCUAUAUGCCAAACACAAUUUAAAAAGUGUGAAAUGCUGUAUUCCUUUCAUGUGACAUUUCAUCCCCUUAACCACCGUUUCUAAUACACCUCUAUAGGGAAAAUCUUCAAAAGGAAUGUUAGCAAUUGCAC
This 2042-nucleotide unclassified non-coding RNA is filed under the name Hevea brasiliensis (rubber tree). The record is from RNAcentral. Lineage: Eukaryota; Viridiplantae; Streptophyta; Magnoliopsida; Malpighiales; Euphorbiaceae.